Acipenser ruthenus (sterlet) is the source of this 676-nucleotide long non-coding RNA. RefSeq lists it as uncharacterized. NCBI's taxonomy places the organism in Eukaryota, Metazoa, Chordata, Actinopteri, Acipenseriformes, Acipenseridae. The transcript has 5 exons. The record is from RefSeq and is a predicted model, not a curated record.
GAACAGAUUUGGAAUGAAAAAGAGAAAUGCCUCCCAGAAAGCGUAGGAAGUGUACUUCGGUCACUGUGAAAAAUCAUGCUGAAAAAGCUCAUGCUACAUCAGCAACCCCUGCUGCUUGUUGAGAAAGCGACACUGCUUCCCCACUGCCACAGGCAUGCCCUCCUUCCUCCAGCACAGUCGCUGUGUCACUUCAGCAUCCACCUGUAUCACUGGCUGUGCCUCGCCCAGCUGUAAUACCCGAAAGCAUGGAUACACCACAAGUAUUUGCUGAAGUCGAGAGCCUUCUCCCUCUUUCUUUCAACAAGAGAAAGAAAAGGAGAAGCCUGCGGUUUAGGGGUGGGCAUCGGCAAGCUGGCAGUGAGGAUGAUUCCUUUUGACAGGAUUGCAGUUUUGGAGGGCUCGAUCACAACCAAAGAUGUUGCCAUUGGAAAGCUUCAUGAAUUUAAACAGAUUCUGACUGCAUCCUCCAUCACGUCGGACAAUCCAUCUGUGUACCGCCUUUAAAAAACAAAAAACUAAACGUUGAUAAUUAUCACUGUCUAAGUCUGUGUUAGAAAGUACUAUAGCACAUGGUCUGUUUUUUGUUUGCUUUCAAAAUUGUAACUAUUGUACACUGAUUUUUUAAAACUUAUUGUAUAUUAGUUUUUUAAUUAGUUUUGAAUUUGCUAUGUAUCAU